Molecule: long non-coding RNA, 10695 nt
Organism: Cryptomeria japonica (Japanese cedar)
Lineage: Eukaryota; Viridiplantae; Streptophyta; Pinopsida; Cupressales; Cupressaceae
Exons: 2
Source: RefSeq, a predicted model, not a curated record
CAAGCAAGAUUUUAUCUCAAUUCUUCAAGCCAAGGAGAGAAAACUGGAAAAUCGCUAUGGGCCCUCUCUGAGGGUCCAGAGCGAUUUUUUUAAUUGCCUUCAAAAUUUUGAUUCUCAACAAUUUCUUUUCACUUCAAGGCUUUUCAAACAUCGUUUCAAACCCAUGUCUAACCUUAGCUUUCCUCAAACUUGGAUGAAAAAUUCCCAUUUUAGGUUUCUCGCUGUGGGCCCUCUCUGAGGGUCCGGAGCGGUUUUUCGAUGUGGGCCUUCAGUGAGGGUCAGGAGCGAUUUUUCAUUUUUGGGUUGAUUUCUUCUUGUGUUGAUCCUCCAAAUUAUAUUCAACGGAUAGAACAUGCUUUCCUUCAUCCCUUCCAAUCAUAAAAUCACUUUGAUCUUGCAAGAAUAAUGCAUAUUUGAAAAUCUCUCUGUGGACCCUCUCUGAGGGUCAGGAGCGAUUUUUGCUACCUGCACCAAAAAUUUUCACUUUUCAUCUAAAAAUCAUUUUGCCAAGGGAGAUAUCGUCUUGUUCUUUGCUAUGAAUAAAAAUUCAUGUCCAAGAAAGGUCCAAAAAUGUGCACACAAAGAAAAUCGUUGUGGGCCCUCUCUGAGGGUCAGGAGCGAUUUUUCCUUUCCUGGGCAAAACUCCUUCCAUUUAUCAUCUUUGAUCAAGUCUAGAUACCUCAUUAUGCUCAUUCUAUCCUUCAUCAUGCUCUUGACCUCUCAAAUCGACCAAAUAAGACUAGCAAUGACCCUUAUAAGAUUUCUCGCUGUGGGCCCUCUCUGAGGGUCAAGAGCAAUUUUUCUGUUUUCAACAAGGUCCUUCAUUAUUUCAAGCCAAAACUUCCUCGGGUGGGUGGAGAAAGUCAUUUAUUUUCCAUUUAUGAUCAAAACUUGGUCUCUUUUCAUUGCAAAAUGAAGGAAAUCAAAAUCUCGCUGUGGGCCCUCUUUGAGGGUCAGGAGUGAAAUUCACUUUGGACCCUCAGGAAGGGUCAAGAGCAAAAUUUGACUUUUUGAACUCUCUGUCAGGAUAAUUUUAUGGAAUAUAGGAAAUGUCACUUAUACUUUAAGUUAUAUUCCAUAUAUACUUUCAGGAUGUUUGAGAGUGGUUUCAGACCUCCAGGAGUUACAUUGCAAAAUCUAGUUUUUGGAGGUUUUUCAAUUUCCAGACUUAGUCAAAUUUCAGGAUCAGGACAUUCCAGACUUAGCCAAAUUUCAGGAUCAGGACUUUCAGACUUAGCCAAAUUUCAGGAUCAGGACUUUCAGACUUAGCCAAAUUUCAGGAUCAGGACAUCACUCAAGCAGGACCUGCUAUCCAGGUGAUCCCCUUGGCGACACUCAAAAUGCAAAGGCUAACUAACAAAACCCUAAAAGACCUACAAAACAAACCCUAAAAAGCAAAAAAAAGCAGGGGUCCCCAUUUGCAAUGGGGCGAUGUGUGAAAUGGUCACAACAGAUAAAGUGCAAAAUCAACUUAAAUAAUACUUUAGGAGUGAGAAAACAACUCCAAAAGGUUUGGGAAUACCUUGGCACUUUAAAAUCACUGAUGCGCGUGUUUAAAAACACGUUAACGCUCAAAAGGUCAACACUUAGACAAAAUUUAAAAUCAUUAAAAUAUCAACGUUUGCAACUUGAUCCUAUUACCUCAAAAACCCUAGACGGCACUAGGCAUGAUCAAAACUCUGAGACUCGGGCACGGGAAACACAAAAUUGACCACUAAGCAGCCAAAACCCUAACCUAACAACGCAGCAAGCAGGAAAAGAGGGGGUCCCCAUUAGCAAUGGGGCGAUGUGUGAAAAAGGUCACAACAAGUACAAAGAAGAUAAAUUGGGAGGCAAGGAUGGGAUUUGGAAAGGUAAUGAACUGAUUUUUGGGUCUAGAUUGAAGAGGUCUCUAUCUCUUGCUAACCCUAUUGAAAAUAAGAAAUCAACUUUUAAGGAUAUUUGGUUUACUUAGUGCAAUAAUCAGUCCCAAGAUAGGAGAAUAUACUCUAGUCUUGAUAGACUUAAUGGUAACAAAGUGUUUUUCUCCUUCAAUUAGGAUUCUAAAAGUCAGCUAGUCUCUAUGUUCCUAACUUCUAUGUCUGGCAAUUCUCCCAUUGAAGCUAGUUUGUAGCAGGGCAAGGGUUGGGUGUUGUUGAUCCUAAUUCUUAAUGUUUCAAAUUGAAUGCUUCCCUUCUCAAUGACCGAGAUUGUCUUAGUGGGUUAAGGACCACCACUUCACUUUCUAAGAGUCUUAACAAGAAUUGUUGGUGUUAGAAAUAAGCCACACCCGGACCGACGAUGGACUGGUCCAAGAGGGGCCAGUAGCUCAAUGGUAGAGCACUCCAGCAACGUAUGGAAGGUCCUAGGUUCGAGUCCUAGCUGGUCCAUGUCUCAACAUGGUAUCAAAGCCAGGUCCAGGCUAGGAGCACCAAGCACACGAGAGGUGUGGCUUAAGGGGGGGUGUUGGUGUUAGAAAUAAGCCACACCCGGACCGACGAUAGACUGGUCCAAGAGGGGCCAGUAGCUCAGUGGUAGAGCACUCUAGCAGCGUAUGGAAGGUCCUAGGUUCGAGUCCUAGCUGGUCCAUGUUUCAACAUGUGGUAUCAAAGUAGGUUCUUGAAGAGCCAUUGCCACAGUUAGUGCAUCCUCUCUGUCUUGAGGAGGAGCUUGAGCUUAAGAGUGGAAAGAUAUGACAGGGGAUAGAGAUCAUAUUUAGUUUGAGUAGAGAGAGAUUCUUGAAUCAGGUUAUAAUUGAGGACGAUGCCAAGAAUAAUGAGAAGGAAGUUGGGGCCACUUCUUUUCAGCUAGACUUUGAUGAUUCUCUUCAUAGAAGUGACAUUUCUAUCUUUAGCCUUGGAAACUUUGCAAAUUUGCAUCUGUCAAUGGCCACUGAAAAAAAAAAAAAACGAGAUCAAGACCUUCAUUGGAUGAUAGGACCAAACUGAUCAGAUAAGUCUUCUCUCUUCUACCACAUUUAUCUAAUAGUAUAUGGUGCAUUGCUCAUGUUAAUUGUCUAUUGUAUGCAUUGGACUAAUGGUUGCCUUCCUGUUCAUGAGACUAGAACUGCCCAUGUGUAAGGUUGAGUCCUGUAGCCCUUAGCUAUGAUUACAUCUAAUUUAUCAUUAUCAAUUUUGUUAUGAGCUAUGUUUAACAACAGAUUAUUACAAGUGUAUGUGGAAGUGCAUGUUGCAGGAGACACUUGAAGACCUUAGUAGUUAAGGCUUGCCCGCUAUUAUGCUACUUGCAAGGGUUUCAAGUUUGUCCAAAGCCAGAUGGAGCUUGGACAAUGAGAUAAGUAUUUUCUUGGUUAUCAUCUCGAGUAUCACUGUUAUUUGCUUCUUGUAGUCAGCCUCUUAUUUGUAUUCCUAUAUGUACUAUAAGAGUUAUUUGCCUCAUUAUGCUCUUGUUCUUUUCCUUGGCCUUUAGGAUGGGUUUUGUAGGAAAAGCAGUAGAUGCAUUAGGAAUCCUGCCGAGGCAUUUGUGCCGGGCUCAAUCUUAUGAGAUUGAUGAUUCGAGAGGGAGGCCUAUGCAGCUUGUCGGGACUCCCAUCCCAAGCGUUGAUAUCUGCUUAUGACAGCUAUGACAUCGGAAACUUGCCCGCCUUGCCAGUCUUGAGAAAGAUGGCCACAGAUCUUCCUAAGAGCACGAGUGAAAUUACAAGAAGUUGUGCACUUAACAGGAGUGUCAAGAGUUCCUUGCCGAGCUGUGACAGUAGGUCCAAGGUGGUCUUGAUUCCAGCACAUUCAACCAUGAGUAGAUCAUGCCAGAUGAUGUUAUGAGUUGAGAGCUUGGAGCAAUAUGUCUUCCAUAAUUGGGAGCAUGUGAGCAGGGUAUGCUUCUGUGACAAAGGGAGUAGCUAGAGGAUCUUCUUCAAUUAACUUUUGAGGAUCUUGGUUAUAUUGGUUCAGAGGGAGUGGACCAUGUCAAGAUGGUUUCUCUAGUGAUCAAUCAAAGGACUACGAUUCAUGAGAUGGAGUCCCAUUUAUGUAGGCUGGAAGGUCUUUAUGUUGACUUCUAGGUAAUGAUAUUCCUGGAUAGAUGAAUACUUGGUGAGCUUGGAAUACACCAAGAGUGAUGCAGACUCCCACCUUGUAUUUCAUGAAAGGUCAAAGCAUGUGGAGAUCAAGUAUCGCUUUCUAGAGACAUGGUGGAAAGGUAUACUAUGGUAGAAAGGUAUGCUAUUCACUAAUGUAUUCUUAUAUUUGAGAAAAGAUAUUUGAAGUGUAAACUCUUGAGGUGUAAGCCCUUUUCUCACCCUCUGAUAUGGUUCAUGGUGAAUGUCAUGUGUGUGACUCCAUGACAAACAUCACGUGAGAGAGUCCGUGAUGAUCUUCUUGUACUUGUGUGUUUAUCCUUUGAAUAAGCCAUGGUGAAUGUCAUUGUGAGGUGACGAUCUCACAAUGAUGAACACUUGUACAUCUCACCAUUAUUGUAAGGUGACGAUCUCACAAUAGUGGUUGUAUAUAUCAUUAUGGUGGAUAUCACAUGAAGCGAUAUCUAUGGAUAUACCAUAAUGAUUGACAUCACAUGAGGUGAUAUCUAUUGAUCAUACCAUUAUGAUGGAUAUCAUGAGACGUGAUAUCUAUGGAUAUGUCAUAAUGGUUUAUACCUCUUGUAGUAAUAUCUAUGGAUAUGCCAUAAUGGUGAAUAUCAUGAGACGUGAUAUCCAUGGAUAAGCCAUAAUGGUAGAUAUUACAUAAAGAGAUACUCAUGGUGGGUUUCAUGUGACGUGAAAUCCGUGGACAUGCCAUGAAGUAAUAUCUUUAGAUAUACCAUGAUGGUGGAUAUCAUGAGACAUGAUAUCUGUGGACAAGCCAUAAUGGUGGAUAUUACAUUAAAAGAUUUAUGGUGGAUAUCAUGUGACAUGAUUUCCGUGGAUAUGCCAUAAGUCCUGAUAUCACAGUGAGGUGAUAUCUUUCUCUCACAUAUAGAUGUAGCUAUUGUGGUAAAUCAUCACUAUGGAGUGAUGUAAGGAUGAGAAGGAUUCCUCCGUAGCUAAGAGGGAGUUUUAAUGUUGUAGUUGUGGUCGAACUCCUUCACAUCGACCCGUGCAAUCUAAAUGUCUAUUUGGCUUGUCGGCCAUAGACAUUUUAUAUGUGGCGUCUUAUACAUUAAUAUUUGUUAAGCGGUUAACAAAACCUGGUUAGUGUUCUUCCCGCCACCUUUGGAUGAGUCGUGCCUCUACUUAACCCGUCCAUCACCCUUGAUGAAGGGCCACGAUGCUUUGGAGGAAACACGAUGAUCUUGGAAGAAGCCGACUCUUCAUGAAGAGUCUUCAUGCCAGGUAUAAGGAGGAUCUUUUCCUCUUGUAUUUGAUGGAGAAUCAAUUGAUGUGAAGGAUUAUCGAAUAAGAAGAGCAGAUCGAUAUUAUAAGAGCAGAUUGACUUGGUAAUAAUUAUAAAGGUAGAUCGCUGUGUACAGCAAAUUGAACAUACUCGAGGCAAUUUGAAUUACACAAGACAUACAAGCAGAUCAAUAAGAAGAGCAAGCAGAUCAGCCUUCACCUUCAGCCUGUGCAUUAUCAUCUAUAAUUCGCGUUUGGUCUAUUGCAGAUCGUCUUACAUACCAGAUUGACUUCAUUCUUUAGUCACGGCGAAUUCAUUAGAAGAGCAAACUUAUUACAUACAGAUCGUAUUCUUUGUAUGGCAAAUUAACUUGUUCAUAUAGCUUCAAGAAGUGAAGCAUUACUGUAAAGUCAUAUCCAGAUUUGAUAUAUAUAUAUAUCAAAGAUAUAAUUUCCGUGCUCGGGGGAGACGAUAACAGUAUAUCGUCUGUGGUUGGGAGGGCAACAAUGAUGAGAAUCAUUGCCCGUGGUUAAUCAAGCACACCCUAUGAUUACUGUGCAUGGUCAUCUUCUUGUGAUCCUAGAAUUAUAACAAAUUCAACAUGGUAUCAAAGCCAGGUCCAAGCUAGGAGCCCCAAGCACACGAGAGGUGUGGCUUAAGGGGGGGUGUUGGUGUUGGAAAUAAGCCACACCCGGACUGACGAUGGACUGGUCCAAGAGGGGCCUGUAGCUCAGUGGUAGAGCACUCCAGCAGCGUAUGGAAGGUCCUAGGUUCAAGUCCUAGCCGGUCCAUGUCUCAACAAGAAUGUUUCUGCAAUUCAAAGAUUAGAAACCCUGGUGUUCUUAUGGAGGAAUUUGUUUAAUUUAGAAGGCAAUUAAUAGAAGACUUGAACUUCUGUUGCAAGAGAAAUUGUUAACCUUCGAAAGUGAGCUAUAGAGAAAAUCUAGUAACCUGAUUAUUAGAACUGAAUUGGUUAGAACUAAGUCUUUGCUAAGGAAGGUUUAGAAUUAUAAGUUUCAGGGUGCCAGGAUUAUGGCUAAGAUAAAUUUGGUUGCAUGAAAGUGAUAGGGGGUCAAAAUAUUUCUUUAAUCUUAUCAGACACAAGCAAGAUAGAGAAAAAAAAUGGGCCUACUGAAGUAAAUGGUAUCUCCUCUAAUUAUAGUACCUUUAUGAAUGAGGUUUUCCAUUCCUUUUUCCUAACUUUGUUCUCCUCAAAAAAUGAUGGCAGGUUUAAAGAGGCUAGGGCCUUCUAUCAAAGGACUAUACCUAGAAAAAUUAGCCUGGAAGAUCCUCAGGCUCUUGACAGAGAUAUUUCUAUGGAUGAAAUUGCAAAUACCAUUUGCUUAUUCAAUAAUGGCAAAUCCCCAAGUAUGGAUGGUCUUCCUAUUGAAUUUUAUAAAGUCAAUAUAAAAUGGAUUGGGGUGAAUUGAUUUAUGUCUCCAAGGAAGCCUUCUUUGGGCAAAAAAAUUAAUAGAGGCAUCAUUAAAUUAAUUUGCAAAGAUGGGGAUAAUAGUCUUAUUAAGAAUUGGAGGUUGAUUACAUUAUUGAAUGUUUCCUAUAAGAUUCUUGCUAAGACUCUUGUUAUCAGGCGGUCAGGUAUUUUGAAGAAGGUGGUCUCAGUCACUCAAACAGGGUUUAUUAAAGGCGGAUAUAUUUUGGAAAACUUGAUUACUAGCUGGGAGGGUAUGCAUUGGGCAAAACAUAAUGAUCAGAAUAUUGCUAUGAUUUUGUUGGAUUUUGAAAAGGCCUAUGGUAGAAUUGAAUGGUCUUUUGUGUUUAAUAUGUUGAAGACGUUUGAUUUUCCUCAUAAAUUCUGUAGGUGAAUGGACAUAUUGUUUAAUGAUUAUUCCACUCAAAGUGAAAUUAAUGGAGAGCAUAUUGAACCUAUUUUUUUUGCAAAGAUCGAUUGGGCAGGGUUGUCCUGUUGCCCCAGCUGUGAUUGUUGAUGCUCUCCACUAUGUUCUAAGAACCAGUUUGGUUAGUUCUCCUAUUUGUGUUAUCUAGCUUCCCAGUGAUGAAUAGUUGCUAAAAUGCUCAGUUUGUGGAUGAUAUUGCCUUGUUCGUUGAAAUGCUUGAGAACUUUUGGAUAUUUUUUGUGCAGCCUCAGGAGAAAAAUUCUCAAGUAGUAAAUCUAUUAUCCUUACUUGGGAUCAACAAGUGCCUAAUUGAAUUGUGGCUAAGAACUGGCAGUGAGCAGGUCCAAACAAAGUGGUCAAGUAUCUUGGUAUCCCUUUUCCUAUUUCUCCAUCCUUGAAGGAUAUGUGAGAUUGGCUAUAUCUAGAAAUUGAAUAGAAACAUGAAAAAUGGCAGACCCAUCUUUUAUCUCUUAGAGGAUUCAGGUUGUGCAAAAAGUUAUUACAUCUCACUCUGUUUAUUUCUCCUUUACUUGGUUAUUUUCUAAUUUUCAUUUUGAGAAGUUGCAGAAGGUUCUGAAGGAUUUCUUGUGGUUCGAUGGGAAAGGUAAUUAAAAGAAGCGUGUUGUAAAUUGGUCAUAGUGUUGUAUGAUGCCCCUUUCCUAAUCAGUUCAAUAUAGUUGACUGUAAGCCUAUUUAGUGGGUUCCUGUAGGCUAAUGAGUCAAGGUUAAGGAACUCAUAGUGACAUUUUAUCCAGCAAGUUAGCUGUGUUAGGUGUUUAUUUGAGCUUUGGUGAUUAAAAUGUGCGUAACAACCUUUUUGGAGUGGUUUUGAUUGAUUUUUCAUUUACUAUUUUUAGUAAGUCAGUUUUGGGCAUCAAUAGAGCCAGUUUGUUAGUGUUACUAUUUUAGGUGUCAGUGGAAGCAGUUAAUAUUGAUAUUUCAAUAUUUGUUAUAGUCCAAUGCAUUUAAAUUAAAUAAUGAUAGGUUAUUAAAUUAUAAAGUUGAAUUAAAGAUUUAACUUUAUCAUUAUUUUUAAUUUAUUCAAUAAAGGACUAUAUGGUCGCCGAAUAUUAAGGUGAAGUGUUUUAUUUUGUUAAAGAGGGCCUCUUUGGGAUGAGUGCCACUUAGGGGAGACAUGAGGUUUUAAAACAUAAUUUAAAAUGUGACUCCUUGACUUGGGCAUAGCUUCUUGGAGAGCUUAUAAAGCAAGUUUUAAGAACUCAUUUGGUAUGCUUGAUUUUGAUAUUUGGAAAGUCUUCUUGCUGGUUGAAUGUGUUCAAUCUAUAGCUUUGUGAGGACGAAAUCCCUUGCAAGGAACAUCUUCCACGUUGGUGAGAGACCCAAUCUGGAGGAUUUUUGGGUGGUUUCAUCUCAGAAAUCACAUUGUGCUUCAGCAGUUGAUAAUGGAUAAGAUUUCUCUUUCAGUUUGCAGAGUUAUUUGAUAGAGAUCAUUCACAGAGACUGGACAGAGAGGAGGGGGAGUGUGCAUUGCAGAUUUUGAGUGUUUGUCCUUGCUUUUUCUGGCCGUACUUCAAUUGGUUGGCCAUACCACUGAAUUGGGAGGUCGUUAGCUUUCUAGAGGAGGGUGAUUGGGAUUUAGAGAUUUCAGUUUGCACAUUUGAGGCGUCUAAACCCAGCUAUAUCAGAUUUGCAGCAGGCCAGGAGGUGCUUCAUGGUGGCACCUAAUGUUUUGGGACUCCAGUUUGCUGGUUAUUGUUGUUGUUGCUCAAUAUUUUGUAUUAUCAACAAAUGGGUAGGUCAAAUAAAUGUCAACAAAUGGGUAGGUCAAAUAAAUGUUUGUAAUGAGAUUUAAUCAUUUGGGUAUCUCUAGUUUUACUUCUAUAUUGAACUUUCAAAAUAUAGCUGGUUGUGGACAUUGUAUUUGCAAGCUAUCCCCUUUGUUAUUUGCAAGCAUCUCCUUUGUUAUUAGCUGUUAUAAAUCUGUAUAUCUUGCAAUAUAUUUCUACACUUGUAUCUUCUUCUACCUCCUAUCAAACUCAAUCAAACAAAACAAACACAAAAAAACCAAGGGUGCAUAUUACAUGUUGCUUGUCUAAAAGGUUAGGAGUGUUGGGGCUUAAGGAUUUUAGGUUUCAAGGUAUUGCUCUAGUAGUUAAAUGGAUUAUAAAAGCUUGUGAUGGCUCUGAGCCCUAGAAAGUCUCGAUCAGAAACAGUUUAGAUCCCUCUAAACCUAAGAAAGGUAAAACUUGGUGUACUCUUCAUUUCCAGGAUUUUUUGUUUGGUAAUUUAAUAUUAGAAUCUUUGGAUGUCCAGUGUUUAUCAUUUAGAAAGCUUGGGGAAAAGUUAAACAUGUAAUCUAUAACUGCGAUGCAUUUCUCAAGUUCUUGGUCCCUGCAUAAAUUGCAGAUCUAUUUGGUGGAAUUUGAAUCUGAAUGGCAAGCCUCUAGAUCUCAUUCAAGGAUGUUCUGCUAAAGUUUGGCAAAAAAAUGGGAUCUUUGUCUUCCUGGACAUUUUUUGUCGAUGGUGUUCUUAAGACCUUGGAUCAAGUGAGAUCUAAUUUUGAUGUUCCUUCUCAUAGGAGAACUUAUUCAGUUCUAAAAAACGCCUCGGGCAAUGUUGUUUUCCAAUCUCUCUGAUAACUGAAUCUAAGUUGUUCACAAAGAUCUCUUGGAAAGAUGGUAUAUCCUUUGAUCGGAUUUUGGUUAAGAAGUUGUAUUGUAUGUUGAUUGGUAAGGGGGAAGUUUUCAAUUGGCUGAAUAAGUCAUGGAGCCUUGAUUGGUUUAAGUCCCAAGUGGUCUAGUAGGUUAUCCCAUAUCUGGUCAAGUUUUGGGGAGCAUAAGAAAGCUUAUUUUAGAUGGUUGCUUUUAUUGAAAAAACUGGCUGUUAAUAUUGUUUUGCAGUCUCGUGGUUUGCCUGUUAGAAUUUGUGCUUUGUGUGACCAAGUGGAAACUUUUGAGCAUUUGUUUUUUUAAUGUCCAUUUGCUUUUUCUCAGUGGUCAUUAUUUCUUGGUGAUCAUAUUGGCUGGGACUGUAAAUGUGGUUUCACUUGGUUUGAGAUUCUUGCUGGUUAUGUAAAUGCUUUUACUACUGACCUUAAUGCUUUUUGGCUUUCCUUGACUAACGAGAUUUUAUGGUUUAUUUGGAAAAAGAAAGAUGAAGAGAUUUUCCAAGGGAAGAGAAGGAGGACCUGACUAUUGUUUACAAAACAGAGAUUAAAAAUGCACGUUUCUUCCUUUAGAGGAGGAAUAAUCUGAACAAAGAAGAGCUGGAGAUCCUAAAAGAAUUUAUGGACAAGCACAAGAUUCACAAGCCCAUGGAUAUAGAUAAGACUAAGAGGGAUCCUAGAGACCGGUUCCAACCAGUGGUAAAAUAUGUUGAUCCUGAUCUGAUCGAGCCACCCCAUGGAACCUAUGAAUGUGAUCAGUGCGAAGCCAUGAAUGUGAUCAGUGCGAAGCCAGCAGCAACAUUAGGUGCUGCUGGAAGUAGCGUUGUGAUGUUAGGCUGAAAGUAUCUUUUUUUGUAACAGCUACUCAGUAUUACUAUGUGAUCCUUCUUUUGGAUGGGUAAUCGGUAACUUAGUUUCUAUGGAGCUCCAGCUCCUUAUAUUGUAA